This 63-nucleotide non-coding RNA is filed under the name human gut metagenome. RNAcentral's name for it is "Fluoride riboswitch". It matches the Rfam family "Fluoride riboswitch aptamer (crcB RNA motif)", at positions 7 to 61 of the family's 64-position model. The record is from RNAcentral.
CUAAUGGGAAUGAAGUUCUCCCAAGGGAAACCUGAACCGCUUUAAGCUGAUGACUUCUGCGAA